GGCUUUUCACCAUUGGCUGCUGUCGCCCGGAAGAAAAAAAAAAACUAAAAAAAUUGCCUGGGGCUCACUUCAAAAAUAUACCUGUAUCAAACGCUGCAACCUAAAACGGCACAGGUAAAAAAAUACCCGUUCUCAUUCAAACAAGGGCAGCAUAUGUCUAUAUGGAUAUCAGUGCACCAAUAAUGCAGGGUAUUUUAAGCAAUUACUGUAGUUAAUUUUUUUUGAACCAGCGCACAUUUUUAUAAAUCAAUAAAUCAACACAAUUUACAGCGAGAUGAAAUACAUACUGUAUUUUCGGUUAUUGGCAUUAGUUUCAAAAGAAACGUGCUGGGCGGAAUGGUAGAGGUUAGUAACCCACAUGAACGGAUACGACAUUACUAUCAAAUACAAGCUGGUCCUAUUUGUACCAUGACUCACAAACAAAACAAGGUCGAAUACGUGGAAUAAAAAAGAAACAAACAUCCCCAAGCGAUCAACGAUAGUGACGGAACGGAGAUUACCACUUUAUCCCUGGAGAAAUUAAGGAUCUACAAACGAAGGUCACAAAACAAUAGGAUUACAUUCAAAGACUAAAGUUUUGGUUAUUUACUUUUUACUCUGUCGUGGGAUUUGGACCAACUAUUUCAAAUUUUGAAUUAUUAUUAUUAUUGAAAUGGAAAACCCGAGAAAACCAUUUACAACAUUGGGCCAAGUUUUUCAAAACUAUUUGUAGAUUGUAGAAAAACUACACAGGAGAAAUGUUGGAAUCGGGUAAGAAUCGUAAGUUAUCAUGACUGUUCUUUCGGGCAGUGACGCUGUGAUACUUUUGAUCCAAAAACUGAAGACGACCAUCUAGAUGAUUGAGGAAACGAAACGCUUCUUGAAUUCUUUUCUGGCACACGACUCGGUUGCGCACAUUUUGAUGUGGAACAGGAGGACCAUGUUGCGGCUUUGUCAACGUAUUAUCUUCUACGAUGACGCGAUCGUUUUUAUGGUUUAGGAGGUAAUCGAUUUUGUCUUCUGAAUCUUGUAACUUUAAUUUGCACAUCUCAAGAGCAGAUUGAGAUUUCCCCAAUUUGUUUUGGAGUUUGGUUAUCUCGUCAUUCAAGUCAGUUGACAUGCGUUGGAAAGAUAGGCAAUUCUCAUCCGUUUGCGUUUCAGCUAAACUAACAGCUGGAAGAGUUUGGACAAACUGCGUCCUUAAAAUCUUCUCAUCAAUGUCUAGUGUCUGCGAUUGCGCGUUCAAGAGCAGUUUUUUAGGAGACUCGUCAGUGCAUUGGCAAGAUUUGUUUGCAAAGGCCUUGCUGGAUAUCUUGCCAAAAGCAUCCACUACCCAGUUGAGCAAACAUGUUUUCCCAUCAUUACUAGGUACCAUGUUAUCACUUGUUACACCUAAGGGAUUUAAGAGGUCUUUCCACUGACACUUGUCCAGAUAUUGGGGACUGGACUGUUGGAUAGAUAAGCACUCACUGGCGAAAACAGAUGAAGUGUAGAACAUUUUGUGAUGCUUGAGGUAUUCAUAAAUCAUAACAUUAAUGGCGUCAUCCUUUGGUGAGAAUUUCACUUGUUUUGAAGUUGAUCCCAGUUCCGUUUUAAGUUUUUCAACCAUCCUCAUUCGAAGAAAUGAUUGUAGUUCUCCCAUAAUUCCUUUUUCCUUUAGCCUGAAAAUUUAUUCACAUUAUUAGAAAACUGUAGUCAUUGAUGUAUGCUAUCUCUUUAAUACAACACUUUUAAACAACAAAAA
This is a long non-coding RNA of Daphnia pulex (common water flea), 1723 nucleotides long. RefSeq lists it as uncharacterized. The record is from RefSeq and is a predicted model, not a curated record. The transcript has 2 exons. NCBI's taxonomy places the organism in Eukaryota, Metazoa, Arthropoda, Branchiopoda, Diplostraca, Daphniidae.